Molecule: ribosomal RNA, 244 nt
Filed under: uncultured bacterium
Lineage: Bacteria
Description: partial 16S ribosomal RNA
Rfam family: Bacterial small subunit ribosomal RNA
Source: RNAcentral
GAGUAAUGUCUGGGAAACUGCCUGAUGGAGGGGGGAGUAACUACUGGAAACGGUAGCUAAUACCGCAUAACGUCGCAAGACCAAGAGGGGACCUUCGGGCCUCUUGCCAUCGGAUGUGCCCAGAUGGGAUUAGCUAGUAGGUGGGGUAACGGCUCACCUAGGCGACGAUCCCUAGCUGGUCUGAGAGGAUGGCCAGCCACACUGGAACUGAGACACGGUCCAGACUCCUACGGGAGGCAGCAUG